RNAcentral lists this ribosomal RNA (439 nucleotides) under uncultured bacterium. Its description in RNAcentral is "partial 16S ribosomal RNA". It matches the Rfam family "Bacterial small subunit ribosomal RNA", at positions 339 to 795 of the family's 1533-position model. The record is from RNAcentral.
CUACGGGAUGCUGCAGUGAGGGAUAUUGCACAAUGGGGGGAACCCUGAUGCAGCAACGCCGCGUGGAGGAUGACGCAUUUCGGUGUGUAAACUCCUUUUAUAUGUCAAGAAAAUGACGGUAGCAUAUGAAUAAGCGCCGGCUAACUCCGUGCCAGCAGCCGCGGUAAUACGGAGGGCGCAAGCGUUACUCGGAAUCACUGGGCGUAAAGGACGCGUAGGCGGGUUGAAAAGUCAGGUGUGAAAGCCUACAGCUUAACUGUAGAACUGCACUUGAAACUCUCAAUCUAGAGUAUGGGAGGGGCAGAUGGAAUUAGUGGUGUAGGGGUAAGAUCCGUAGAUAUCACUAGGAAUACCUAAAGCGAAGGCGAUCUGCUGGAACAUUACUGACGCUAAGGCGUGAAAGCGUGGGGAGCAAACAGGAUUAGAUACCCCGGUAGUC